ACGGAGCUUCAAUAUUCUUUAUCUG
This 25-nucleotide non-coding RNA is filed under the name Cricetulus griseus (Chinese hamster). Lineage: Eukaryota; Metazoa; Chordata; Mammalia; Rodentia; Cricetidae. The record is from RNAcentral.